Molecule: ribosomal RNA, 253 nt
Filed under: uncultured bacterium
Lineage: Bacteria
Description: partial 16S ribosomal RNA
Rfam family: Bacterial small subunit ribosomal RNA
Source: RNAcentral
UACGUAGGUGGCAAGCGUUGUCCGGAUUUACUGGGCGUAAAGAGCGCGCAGGCGGUCGUUCAAGUCGCGUGUGAAAGCCCCCGGCUCAACUGGGGAGGGUCACGCGAUACUGAUCGACUCGAAGGCAGGAGAGGGAAGUGGAAUUCCCGGUGGAGCGGUGAAAUGCGUAGAUAUCGGGAGGAACGCCGGUGGCGAAAGCGACUGUCUGGGGUGCCUGUGACGCUGAGGCGCGAAAGCCAGGGGAUCAAACGGG